CCCCUCCCCCACGCCGCCGUCCGGCCGCCAGGGUCUCGGCGGUCCCUCGCUCGGCCAGGGAGGGGGCC
Molecule: non-coding RNA, 68 nt
Filed under: Pan troglodytes (chimpanzee)
Lineage: Eukaryota; Metazoa; Chordata; Mammalia; Primates; Hominidae
Source: RNAcentral